GGGCCCGCACAAGCGGUGGAGCAUGUGGUUUAAUUCGAUGCAACCGCGAAGAACCUUACCUACUCUUGACAUCCAGAGAACUUUUCAGAGAUGAAUUGGUGCCUUCGGGAACUCUGAGACAGGUGCUGCAUGGCUGUCGUCAGCUCGUGUUGUGAAAUGUUGGGUUAAGUCCCGCAACGAGCGCAACCCUUAUCCUUGUUUGCCAGCGAGUAAUGUCGGGAACUCCAGGGAGACUGCCGGUGAUAAACCGGAGGAAGGUGGGGACGACGUCAAGUCAUCAUGGCCCUUACGAGUAGGGCUACACACGUGCUACAAUGGCGCAUACAGAGGGCAGCCAACUUGCGAGAGUGAGCGGAAUCCCAAAAAGUGCGUCGUAGUCCGGAUCGGAGUCUGCAACUCGACCCCAUGAAGUCGGAAUCGCUAGUAAUCG
RNAcentral lists this ribosomal RNA (430 nucleotides) under uncultured bacterium. RNAcentral's name for it is "bacterial SSU rRNA". It matches the Rfam family "Bacterial small subunit ribosomal RNA", at positions 917 to 1344 of the family's 1533-position model. The record is from RNAcentral.